RNAcentral lists this ribosomal RNA (495 nucleotides) under uncultured bacterium. Its description in RNAcentral is "partial 16S ribosomal RNA". It matches the Rfam family "Bacterial small subunit ribosomal RNA", at positions 28 to 507 of the family's 1533-position model. The record is from RNAcentral.
GACGAACGCUGGCGGCGUGCCUAAUACAUGCAAGUAGAACGCUGAAGGAGGAGCUUGCUUCUCUGGAUGAGUUGCGAACGGGUGAGUAACGCGUAGGUAACCUGCCUGGUAGCGGGGGAUAACUAUUGGAAACGAUAGCUAAUACCGCAUAAGAGUAGAUGUUGCAUGACAUUUGCUUAAAAGGUGCAAUUGCAUCACUACCAGAUGGACCUGCGUUGUAUUAGCUAGUUGGUGAGGUAACGGCUCACCAAGGCAACGAUACAUAGCCGACCUGAGAGGGUGGUCGGCCACACUGGGACUGGGACACGGCCCAGACUCCUACGGGAGGCAGCAGUAGGGAAUCUUCGGCAAUGGACGGAAGUCUGACCGAGCAACGCCGCGUGAGUGAAGAAGGUUUUCGGAUCGUAAAGCUCUGUUGUAAGGGAAGAACGAGUGUGAGAGUGGAAAGUUCACACUGUGACGGUAUCUUACCAGAAAGGGACGGCUAACUACGUG